Molecule: transfer RNA, 73 nt
Filed under: Nanoarchaeum equitans Kin4-M
Lineage: Archaea; Nanobdellati; Nanobdellota; Candidatus Nanoarchaeia; Nanoarchaeales; Nanoarchaeaceae
Description: tRNA-Met (CAT) (tRNA-Met-CAT-1-1)
Rfam family: tRNA
About the family: Transfer RNA (tRNA) molecules are approximately 80 nucleotides in length. Their secondary structure includes four short double-helical elements and three loops (D, anti-codon, and T loops).
Source: RNAcentral
GCCGCCGUAGCUCAGCGGUCAGAGCGCCCGGCUCAUAACCGGGAGGUCGCGGGUUCGAAUCCCGCCGGCGGCA